Passer domesticus (house sparrow) is the source of this 3668-nucleotide long non-coding RNA. RefSeq lists it as uncharacterized. The record is from RefSeq and is a predicted model, not a curated record. Lineage: Eukaryota; Metazoa; Chordata; Aves; Passeriformes; Passeridae. The transcript is spliced from 3 exons.
GCCGCCUCUCCCCACACAGUAAUGGCGGACACAGGUGGCAGAAAGGGAUGGAGAAGGCGCUUCACCUUUAGGAGGUGCCGAUCCUGGUGCCCACUCUGGAUAGCCAAAGGAGCUGUAGCAGGCACCUCGGAGUAGCAAAUUGGAAAAGCAGGGAUAGGUAGAUGAGAUGCAUCAGAAACUCGACAAUUGCAGCUGGAACUGCGGGAAGUCAGGGCAGGGCAGGCAGUGCGAGUUACAGUGUAGCAAAGAAACCACUGAGCAGUGGCGGAGAAAGGGCGGGGGCUGGCCAGUGGCCACCCCGCUCCAAACUGGGCAUCCCUGUGUUUCCCCUGAGGCACGGGGGCAGGAGGUGAAGGUCCUUUGCUUGGUGAGGUAGGGUGUUGGUAAGGUUGCAGUGCAAUGGCCACUCUCAGGAGUGAGGGCUCACCUCACGGCACAAGAAGCAGGACUGGGCUCGGCUCCGGUGGUGGCAGCGAAUCCCGCCCCUUCAGGCAGCAGGCCGACCAUCCUCCUCGGAAACCGAGAGAGCAAGAGCAGCUGACUAGCUAGCACCCAGCCCCAUUUUUUCCCAGCCCAGCUCUCCGCUCUUCCCAGAGAAACCCCCAGGUGAAGAGAGAGCCAGCUGCACCCCUCCCCUGAGCUGGGACAACUUCUUUUGCCUCUCUUAAGUACCCGGUCCUUAUCGUCCCUUAGCAACAAAAAUGGGGGGAAAUUCCCUAAGAGAAAAGAAAAAUAAAAGGAGAGCUGACUGAGGGAGGGGGCCCUGCUUCCAGGCUGGAGUAACCUGUCUUUGGAGAGCUGCACCCUGUGGAAGAGUGACCCACACCACGGGAGUUUUGGGAGGAUUGUGAGAUUGGAGACACGCUGGAGAAGGUCGCAGAGAACGUGGGAAGGGACCUCACAGGGGAACAACUCUGCCCAAGCAGUGGAAGAAAACUGAACUGACCAAACCCCCCCACCCUCUCUCUCUGCACUGAAGGUAAAAUGCAUGAGCUUCAAAGCAUUUUUGUUGGCACUACUUCAGUCUGAUCCUGAACGACAGCUAGCAAAAAAUAAGACACUGAAAAAGAACAAAACAAACAACAAUAACAGCAAAAAACCACAAACAAAAAAUUCUAGGGAAGUUACCACUUGUAACUGGUGUUCCCUUAGCAAAGAGUCUCUCUUGAUCAAUUCCCCAUGGCCCCCACCCUUUCUUAGAAAGAGAGAAAAUAAUUUCAAAUCCAUUUUGUAGCUUUGUAUUAUCCUACCUUUUGAAAUACAACUACCCUGAAUAACAACUGCUUCUGCAAGUCUCUAUCUGUUGUCAUUUCCAUACUGUCCAGGGAUUUUUUUCUUGUUGUUAUUUAUUUUACUUCUUUUUUUUCACCUAAUGACUGGGGUGCCAAAAAAGGGACACAUAGAUGAAGAAAGGGGAAGAGCUUACUCAGAACAGAGAGACGUCUGUUUUGGUUUAGAAUACAUGGUAAUUGAACCAGCAAUGUGAAUUUAUUUCCAGGAUAAUAAUUCAGGAGCAACUGAUCUUCCAAAUAUCCAUCCUGAAUAUUGUAGAAAAAUUGGAAGUUGGUAGUUCUUUCCGGUAAUUUAAUCAGCUUUUGUGUUUGGUCUUUGCAAGAGACUGGCAACUACUGGAGCAGCUGAGAGACUGUUCCUUAAUUGCUCUGAACUGCACAAUAGAAAAUUCAUCAAUAAUUUUCACAAUUGUUUUUGGAAGAGAAGCUGCUUAUCAUGUCUCAUUGUGCAAGAGCACAGUAGCACUAAGAGCAAAUUGCAUUGGACUUAAGUACUUUUCUAAUUAGAAUAGCAAAUAGGGGAGUUGGGCUGGUUUGGGUUAAGAUAUUGUAAUUAUCCUUAGUGUGAGUAUAUUUAAAUGGAUAAAAUGGAAAAAUGGAGUGAGUACACUAGUUCUGUCUUCUGUUAUAUUUAAAAGACAUCUCAGCUAUAUAAUAUUUACUUGCCUCAGAGCAUUUCUGCAGUCAAGUCUACUGAGAUUAUGGAUCUGAAGAUUUGCCCAAGGUUGGGGAGAAAUCAUAACAUAAUAUUAUUGUGUACUGAAUAUAACCUGUAACUUUAAAAAUAGGAAGACUUUUCUGUUCAGAAUUAUUGGUUCUAAAGAAAGCUCAGUAGUUCCUUGUGUGGAAGAGUGCAAACAGGGAGAAGUCCAUGAUGGCUCUGAAGAGUUUAAAGGUCAGGACACUGGCAUUUGGAAGACUGUGGUGUAGGAACACAAUUUCCCUGGAGGAGAGCAAACAAGGAAGCAGAACCUAGCUACCCUAGAUACUAUGUAUUAAGGUUCUCAAUCAUGUAGAUGUUAUAAAACUAACUUGGUUAAUUGUCACUUGUCACUUACAGUGCUAUACCAGACUGUACAAUUAAAAUUUCUGUGUGACAAGCAGUUACAAGACAGCUGGGAGCGGUAGGGAAAAACAGAUAAUUAUAAACCUGAUUUGUGACCCCAAUCCCUCUUCUUUAUGUCAAAAGCUAUGACAGAAUCAAGCCCAAAUUAAGAAGCAACAAUAAGAAAUUCUUGGACUAUUGAAUAUUAAAGGUCGCUUAGUACAAAAGUGUAAAAGUCAAAGAAAAAUAUAGGAAAGUUGAUUGGAGAGGAUUUAACUACUUAAUAUGGAAUGCAGGUUGUGAUGUUUCUUAACGGAAUGAAUAAUGCUCUUAAAGAACACUAAGUAUACCUUUGCACUUUGUACAUAUAUGCUGAUUUUUAAAGUUACUCAUAACAUUUAUAGAACUCUCCAUGGUUAAAUAUUGAUUUUGAAAAGAUCAGCACUUUCAUAUUCCAGCCUUCACUAGCUAACAAAAAGCUGAAAGAUUAUAUAAAAAAUUCUUCAUAAACUGGUAUGUCUCUCAAUAGAUUUCAGUUUAGUCAGGGUAAAGAUUUGAAAUACCAUGGUCUGCCCUAGAUUAAUAACAAAUCUCAGUAGAAAUGCUGAAAUAAGGUAUGGAGGGAGCUAACCUUUCCAUCCCACCUGUUCUGUUAUGGGUGAAAACCACUAGCCAAUAAAGUCUCUGUACAGCGUAAAUCCAUGCUGAUAAUUCUUUCAUACUUCAGAAGGGUAAAUAAGCCCUUUCUUCAAUUCCUAUCCCUUUAUUGGGUGAUAGUAAAUACAAAUAUAUUACUGCAUACUUUGAUUUGCUUUACGUUGACAAUGGACUUACCCUUUGGGGAGUCACAAAACAGAAAUUAAUAUUGAGGACAAUUUAGCUAUAAACUUGAUAAUUCCACGGAAUACAAAAAUUACAUUGUUUGAUUUUGAGGCUGAAGUAACAUGGACACUUCAGCCUUGCUUGCUAAGAAUCCAAGCCAUGUCCUUCUGUAACUGCUGCUUUGUUUAGAAACCAAAACACUCCAUUAUGCCUUCAACACUGAUGGAAUGUAAGACUAGAUGAGCAAAAAUGUGUCAGAAGAGAUUUGCAGAUAAUGUGAUGACGUAAAUAAUUCUUUUUUAUAGUAAAUUCUUUUUGAUUUUUUUUUCUUUUUUUUCCCCCUAAUUUUUAUUUCAGCUAUCUUCAUAUAGGACAGCCUUGCAUUGGUAUCUUGGCUACAAAAAAUGAUCCCUUUUUGAAGUAGGCCUGUUAAAUUACCAUUCUUUGAACAGUUUAUUGUAAAAUAUGAAAAAUACACCAGAUUAAAUUCAGAAUUACCUAUGCUGUGA